RNAcentral lists this small RNA (451 nucleotides) under Pongo abelii (Sumatran orangutan). RNAcentral's name for it is "processed transcript". The record is from RNAcentral. Lineage: Eukaryota; Metazoa; Chordata; Mammalia; Primates; Hominidae.
CAAGAAGGCUAAACGGCCUACAGCUUCUGGGGGCCCGUGACAGAUGCAGCAUUUUUUCUGCAGGCGAACGUCUGUGUAACUUGGAGGAGGGCAGCCCAGGCAGCGGCACCUACACCCGCCACGGCUACAUCUUUUCGUCGCUUGCCGGCUGUCUGAUGAAGAGCAGCGAGAAUGGCGCGCUUCCAGUGGUGUCUGUAGUGAGAGAAACAGAGUCCCAGUUACUGCCAGAUGUGGGAGCUAUUGUAACCUGUAAGGUCUCUAGCAUCAAUUCACGCUUUGCCAAAGUACACAUCCUGUAUGUGGGGUCCAUGCCACUUAAGAACUCUUUUCGAGGAACUAUCCGCAAGGAAGAUGUCCGAGCAACUGAAAAAGACAAGGUUGUUGGUUGAAAUUUAUAAGAGUUUCCGCCCAGGUGACAUUGUCUUGGCCAAAGUGAUCUCCUUAGGUGACA